UACGGAGGGUGCAAGCGUUGCUCGGAAUUAUUGGGCGUAAAGGGUAGGUAGGUGGUCUCAUUUGUCUGAGGUGAAAGCCUUGGGCUUAACCCAAGAAGGGCCUCAGAAACGGUGAGACUAGAGUACUGGAGAGGGUCGUGGAAUUCCCGGUGUAGCGGUGAAAUGCGUAGAGAUCGGGAGGAACACCAGAGGCGAAGGCGGCGACCUGGACAGUAACUGACACUCAACUACGAAAGCGUGGGGAGCAAACAGG
RNAcentral lists this ribosomal RNA (253 nucleotides) under uncultured bacterium. RNAcentral describes it as "partial 16S ribosomal RNA". It matches the Rfam family "Bacterial small subunit ribosomal RNA", at positions 524 to 776 of the family's 1533-position model. The record is from RNAcentral.